CACUGAAGAUAAGAAGGAAGAAGAAAAGAAAGAAGAGGAGAAGAAAGCUGAAGAGCCUCAGGAGAUCGUUCUCAAAGUUGAUAUGUAUUGUGAGGCUUGUGCUUGGAAGGUCGGCAGAGCCCUAAAAGGAUUUCAAGGUCUAGCCCCAUUUCACACUUCAAUUCCCCUUCUCUGUAUUAAUUUUUUUUUUUUCAA
Long non-coding RNA from Telopea speciosissima, 195 nucleotides. RefSeq lists it as uncharacterized. NCBI's taxonomy places the organism in Eukaryota, Viridiplantae, Streptophyta, Magnoliopsida, Proteales, Proteaceae. The record is from RefSeq and is a predicted model, not a curated record. The transcript is spliced from 4 exons.